This 497-nucleotide ribosomal RNA is filed under the name uncultured bacterium. RNAcentral describes it as "partial 16S ribosomal RNA". It matches the Rfam family "Bacterial small subunit ribosomal RNA", at positions 28 to 507 of the family's 1533-position model. The record is from RNAcentral.
GAUGAACGCUGGCGGCGUGCCUAAUACAUGCAAGUCGAGCGAACGGACGAGAAGCUUGCUUCUCUGAUGUUAGCGGCGGACGGGUGAGUAACACGUGGAUAACCUACCUAUAAGACUGGGAUAACUUCGGGAAACCGGAGCUAAUACCGGAUAAUAUUUUGAACCGCAUGGUUCAAAAGUGAAAGACGGUCUUGCUGUCACUUAUAGAUGGAUCCGCGCUGCAUUAGCUAGUUGGUAAGGUAACGGCUUACCAAGGCAACGAUGCAUAGCCGACCUGAGAGGGUGAUCGGCCACACUGGAACUGAGACACGGUCCAGACUCCUACGGGAGACAGCAGUAGGGAAUCUUCCGCAAUGGGCGAAAGCCUGACGGAGCAACGCCGCGUGAGCGAUGAAGGUCUUCGGAUCGUAAAACUCUGUUAUUAGGGAAGAACAUAUGUGUAAGUAACUGUGCACAUCUUGACGGUACCUAAUCAGAAAGCCACGGCUAACUACGUG